Molecule: ribosomal RNA, 450 nt
Filed under: uncultured bacterium
Lineage: Bacteria
Description: partial 16S ribosomal RNA
Rfam family: Bacterial small subunit ribosomal RNA
Source: RNAcentral
GUGGGGAAUUUUGGACAAUGGGCGCAAGCCUGAUCCAGCAAUGCCGCGUGCAGGAAGAAGGCCUUCGGGUUGUAAACUGCUUUUGUACGGAACGAAAAGGCUCUGGUUAAUACCUGGGGCUCAUGACGGUACCGUAAGAAUAAGCACCGGCUAACUACGUGCCAGCAGCCGCGGUAAUACGUAGGGUGCAAGCGUUAAUCGGAAUUACUGGGCGUAAAGCGUGCGCAGGCGGUUUUGUAAGACAGGCGUGAAAUCCCCGGGCUCAACCUGGGAAUGGCGCUUGUGACUGCAGUGCUGGAGUGCGGCAGAGGGGGAUGGAAUUCCGCGUGUAGCAGUGAAAUGCGUAGAUAUGCGGAGGAACACCGAUGGCGAAGGCAAUCCCCUGGGCCUGCACUGACGCUCAUGCACGAAAGCGUGGGGAGCAAACAGGAUUAGAUACCCUGGUAGUCC